UAGAAGGCUUUUAGUUCUCUUAUGGGGUGUCUCUUAGAUGUAUUUUGAGGUGUCUAAUUAUGGGUGCAAGGUCCCCAAUUGUUGGCACCUAAAGCUUCUCCUAAAGUAAAUUGGAUAAUUUAAGUUAAUAGGAAACUCAAUGCAAGUAGGACUUGUAUUAUGUGAUUGAAUAGGAUUCAAUCCUUGUACCUAUUUAAAGAGACCUCUCCUA
RNAcentral lists this long non-coding RNA (211 nucleotides) under Elaeis guineensis (African oil palm). RNAcentral's name for it is "long non-coding RNA (EGUI_LNC079527)". Lineage: Eukaryota; Viridiplantae; Streptophyta; Magnoliopsida; Arecales; Arecaceae. The record is from RNAcentral.